AACGAACGCCGGCGGCAUGCCUAACACAUGCAAGUCGAACGCUCCGCAAGGGGAGUGGCGAACGGGUGAGUAACGCGUGGGAACCUGCCCAGUAGUUGGGGAUAACCGCGGGAAACUGCGGCUAAUACCGAAUACGCCCUAAGGGGGAAAGGAUUUAUCGCUAGUGGAGGGGCCCGCCGUCGGAUUAGCUGGUUGGUGAGGUAACGGCUCACCAAGGCGACGAUCCGUAGCUGGUCUGAGAGGAUGAUCAGCCACACUGGGACUUAGACACGGCCCAGACUCCUACGGGGAGGGCAGCAGUGGGGAAGUAUUGGACAAUGGGGGCGAACCCUCGAUCCAGCAAUGCCGCGUGAGUGAUGAAGG
Molecule: ribosomal RNA, 363 nt
Filed under: uncultured bacterium
Lineage: Bacteria
Description: bacterial SSU rRNA
Rfam family: Bacterial small subunit ribosomal RNA
Source: RNAcentral